Molecule: non-coding RNA, 7540 nt
Organism: Anas platyrhynchos (mallard)
Lineage: Eukaryota; Metazoa; Chordata; Aves; Anseriformes; Anatidae
Source: RefSeq, a predicted model, not a curated record
AAACCAUUAAUCAACAAAUCAUCAACAAGAUAAAACUCAGUGUCUUUUCUUGUACUUUUGUACAUGAAGGACGGUGCCUGGUUAUUCCAGAGACACUAUAACCAGAAGAAAAAUGCUGCUGACUUCCUGGUGCCACCCCAUGGACCUUGCCCAGCUCAGCCUCCACCUGCACCACUGGAUAUGAGAAGCGAUGAGUCCCAUUUUGUCCAUCUUCACCAUCCUCGAGGGCUGGUGACAGGGGCUGCAGGCUCCCCAUGCCCCUGCCAGAGAUGUGCCCUCUGACCAGCUGAGGGAUGUCACACCUGCUGCUGAGGCACCAGCUGCUGAGCACCUGGAGAUGCAUGCUGGCCAAGAGGCCAAACCUCCAAGGCUACCCCUGAGUAUUUUGAAUGAAGUUACUCUGAGGAGAUGAAGCUCUGCUCUCAGGUGGCAUUUUACCAUAAUAGCAAGGGAUUUGGGAAACCUGAUUUUGUUCCUGGCCCUGCCAUUUAUCUUCUGCACAGCGCUGGGCAAGUCCUUUCUCCAUGCACAUCCCUCUUCUGAAUUAAUGGCGGAAGAGAUGACUUAUGGCAAUGAUGGGGUUGGUUGGGUCUACAUUGUAUGCGUACAAUAAACAGCAACUGCAGAAAGGCUUGACUUUUUUUUAUUUAUUUAUUUUUAUUUUUUAGAUCUGCUUGGCCAGAUCUAGUGUUAACUAGAGAUGGAAAUGUGUGGUAUGUUGAGGUUUCUCCACUUCUACUCUCUCAUUACCUUCACUGGAAAAUUGAGUCUCAUCAGCUGGGGAGCAGAAACAAGAGGACACAGCAAAUCCCAACCUGCCACUGCAACUAGAGCAUUCGUUAAAAAUGUUCUGAAACCCACUCAGAGAGUCAAAAUAAACCCCAGCUUAUCUCUCUGCUUGCUUUAGAUGGUAAGAAUUUGUUGUGGACUAGACCUCUACUCAGAGAUGUCCUGGAGUAGAGAGCAAUGCUUCCUUUCUGGACAGCUGGACAGCUUACUUCUGACAUCCACGUUUGGGAAACACUCAGCUAUAUGUAAGUGCAGAAGCAUGUCUCUGCGAAACAUUGACAUUUUCGGGUAGGCUGAGUACUCUGCAAUGAAAUCCAAGAUACAGUGCAGUCAGUGGGUGGCCUCUGACAAAUUUUAAUGGGCUCUGGAAUAGGGCCCAACCAUAUCACAAAGAACGGGAGAAGGAGGCUUUGGUUUAGCCAAAUAUCUGAGCAUGUGCUUAACCAUUGAAAUUAAUGAGAAUUAAGCAUAUAAUUGAGUCUUCUGCUGACCCUUUCCUUAACCACUAAGUAAAAAAUACUGUCCUGCAGACACUCUACUUAAAAGGGGGAUAUGCCUUUUAUAUGACAAAGGGGGACAUGGCAUUUAAAACAGCAGAUUCAUUUGAUUUUCUAGUGACAUAGAAAAAGCAGAAUUUGGCCCUAUGUUCUUUGGAACAAGGAAACUUUGAAUUAUUACUAGAUGCAUCUUCUCACUGCAUCAUUUUGCAUGAUGCAGGUUAAUGGCUGCCUGCUAGGAAAGAUACCUUACCUGCUUCAGUCAUCUAACAGGAUUCUUGGCAUUCAGCUCAUCAGAGGGGUUGUUUUUUUCAACCAUAUUUCUGUAGGAAUGCAUCUUUUAAGUAUCCUGCUGCAUUGUUUUGAUGCAACCCUCAUAUCUUUUCAGCUUAUUGUUUCUGCAAUUCCUUUUCUCCGUAUAUCAAGCUAUGUUGCUGGGUGUGCUUUUUCUAGCAAAUCUUCAAGGAAGAUUAGGGAAAAAAAAAAAAAAAGCUAAUAUAUCUUAUGCCUUGAAAAUUUCAGGGUCAAAACAGAUUUUAAGCGUUGAUCUUCUUGCACUCGCUGAUGAAUCUUUUUGACCAAGCAGCUGGUGUAUCAGAUCUAGCUGGCAGCACACAGAGCACAUUAGGAAAACAAAGAGAGUGUGAGAUUAAGCUGAAAAGAGGCAAGAGAGGCAUUUUCUCACUGUUCUGCAUGAAGGCAGAAGAUGCUUCGAGAGGAUACAGCCUCGAUUUUCUUAUUGGAACUAUGGCCUCUUCCCCCCAUCAGAUUAUUCAAAGGUGCUGCUACCACUGAAGGAGAAGGAACACACCCAUCCAAGUGAAGCCCACAUUAACCAAAUGGUUAAAUGAAGACAAAGUCAAAGUAUGUACACCAUUUUAAGUCAGGUCACUGGGCAGAGGUUGACCUUGGUCAGAAUGUCUCCACAGACCUAUCCCUGGCUGCAGGCCACUUUGGUGGUCUUGCUGGAGAACGGAACAGGUGCUUUGGAUGUUUCAUCCAGCUAAUAUGGGUCUUUGUUGUGACACUUACAAUGUCUUAAAGGCAAAUUCCUAUGAUUAUUCAAAAUUCUAACCAGUUAUUGAAAGCAGCUUUUAGGGGAAAAAAGAAAAAAAAUGAAGAAAAAGAAUGUCGUAUUUAUAAGACCUAUCAUCAAUCAGACAAAGAAAGAAAGAACAGAACCCAUCCACCCUGGAAAGCAAAUGGUGAUAAAGAUCCCAGAUAAAGUCACUCUUCUCAGCGGGCAGCAAGUCUGAUGAACUGAGAUGGAAAGUCCUUCUCAUUGAUUUCAGUGGAAAAAAUAAUUGACUUUGAACUCUUCGAAUAAGUUGCAAUCUGUAUUUAAUUUCUUGUCCAGGGAAGAGAAUGUCAUUUUGUUUUUCUUGUGGCUCCUAUUAGCUUUAAUAUCAGUUGCACAACUGAUUCCCUUGCAUCAAGCUCCAAAUUUACCCCUGAUGUCAGUGUGCUUAGGACUGAAACAAAAAUCUCUCAGUUGCUUAAAGGAUCAUGCCAUAAUACCACAUUUAUUAAUUCAAAAUCUCUUUCGUCCAUACAUGCACAAAUGGAGCUGAGUAUUCAGAGGAAAGUGUAAAGACUGUAAUUUAACUUUUCGACAUUAAUGCAGCCUAUUAACUGGAAAUGUUCUUGCGGUCCUAGCAAACUUAUACGUUUUUGCCCUUGAACUGCCUGAACAGAGCUAUUCAGCACAUCAGGCUGUCAAGGUCACAGAUCCAAGCUGCUGAUUUUGUUGCAGGGCCAAAUUACCUUUUGAAUAACAUAUAUACAGAUUUUGGGUUUGUCAUCAUCAGUUCAGAUGUGGACAGGGGACCCAAAACCAGAUGGCCCCUGUGGAUGCCCAGAAGAACCCCUGCAGAGUUUUGUCAUGGGGAUCAAUUUGGGUGAGAUUCCCUUAGUCCCAUAUAGAAAUAGUCAUCUGAAGACAAAGGCAGGGUGCUUGGGUUUGUGCCUGUUGCAGUAUGAAGGAUGUGGUCUGAUCCUGCAGAGCCUCCUGAAGUAGAAGUCUCACAUGUGCACUACUCUCCACACGGUGAGGGCAACAUCAUUGAAGUCAAGUGAGAACAGAAUACCUCUAAGUCUCCUUCUGUCCAGCUCCCUGCUCCUGACAGCAUCCAGCACCCACACAAGGCAGCCUGUUGAAGCCAUCCUUUGUCUCUGAUCUGGGACAGUCUGUGGGUAUGAUGGUGACAAAGACCCCCUUAACAUGUUCCUGCAAUGCCAAGGUCACCAUCAGAAACUCUACCAAUGAAGAAAGCAAAUAGCCAGGAUGAAGCAUUCCUCUUGGGAAGACAUACUGAAAAUCCUUCUGGCAUUAAUUUCUGUGCUGUCUGGCGAUUAGCCAUAGCUGGGCUACAAAGCGGAUGGGAACUCUCGUUUGGAAGGUUGGAUCUGAACACACUGAUCCUGUGGAGGAACAGGAACUGAGGCACCUUAAAAGUGAGGAGCUGAAGGUCUGAUUCUAUGGAGCACGUUGUUCUUCUUCCUAGGAUGAAUUCAGCAAAAAUGGAAAGAAGCUGAAAGACCAUUAGAGCUGCCUGUGUUUGAAACUUUCACUUUGACCCUUCUUGCAAGUUUGCAUUUUUCCUAAGGAUGGAAUAUUUGCACCCUAGGUUACUGAUGGCUGUGAACAAAGAAAUAACAAUUUUCCUCAGCAGCCCAGUGUGAUGGAGAAAUUAUGAACUUAUUUAAACUGCACUGCUUGAAAUGCUUUUAGCUAGCUGUUAAGCUCUGCCUUUAAGUUUACAUAAAGAAUUAGGAAAAGUUUACCUACUCCAACUUGACCGUCUGAGGGCAGUGUCACCUAAUACUUGCUAAAAGUGAUGAUGUCUGGUCACUGCAUACUAUCUGCGCUGCACCCACCCUGUGAGGAUGUCAUCCUAAACUCACAGAUGUCAAAGAGAGACUUUCUUCAGAUCUUAACUGCAUCUUGGACUUGAAUACUUUGCAGUCACUCUCCUGGGCCACAGUGUUUACUGAUGUAAACAUUUAACUGCACAGAAUAAGUUGUCCUUCACUUAAUUUUGUCUUUGUAUUUAAAGGCAAACAUAUGUUUUGGAGCACAGCAAACCAUGUGUCCUUCUUGUGGGUGCUUACAUUAAUUACAUGCUUCCAGGCACUAUCUCCUAUAUUUCCAUCUCAUCCUGAAACAAUGCCUUCUGUUUGUGGUCAGAACAUGUGUUUUAGGUAGGAGGAGAUGGGAAAUCCUAUGGAAGGGACAUCAGAAGAAAAAGAAAUACGUGUCUUCUGGAAUGGGUAGACCCUUCAGUUUUCUCCUCUGGACUUGAGGUGCAUAGUAUAGGGAUGACGUGAAAAGGGGGAUGGCACCAGGGUGAUGGUGAUUUAUAUCAGCUAAGAACCUGACAUUAUAUUUAUGGUUUAAGUAGGCUAGCUGUGAGCAACUGAAUAGUGUCGUGUGUGUUUGAGCUUAUGUACAUACGAGGUCACAUAGGAUAUAAAGUACAUUUACAUACAAAUGUACCUCAAACCUAAUCCUUCCUGUUUUGCUCAGACAGUUCAAUGUGAAUACCACACACUUAUAAGUUCCUCUUUAAACUGUAACAGAAACUAUUGCAGUGUGAUUUCUUCUGGUGGGUAAUGUCAUAACAAGCUGAUUUUGAGGAGACAAAAAAAAAAAAAAGAGAGAAACAAAUGAUUCAGUACCUCUCAGUCCUUCUCUAGCAACAAAACUAUUUGACUGCAAAGGUCUAAUCUAUGUAAAACAAUUAAGAGAAGGGAAAAUAAUAAUUUCGAAAGAGACAUGUAAGAAACCCAAAGGCAGUGGUGAUCAGCACAGUAAUCCCAAUGUGUUAGAGUUGAUCAGCCUGAACCUGUUUCCUACUUAAAGCAUUAAAUGUAGGAGGAUCUUUCAUAUUUUCCAGAUGAUUAGUGCUGAGAAAUCACACUGACUGCUGAAGUACAGUGAUAGAUACAGGUGGGUGCUAACAUAGAGGUACACUUGUUUAAUUAAACACCAGUCUAUCAGAUGAUUUCUAGUGGUUGUUUAGGCACCAAUGACCAGCCCUGGGCACUCAUGUCAAUUCUAAAUGCACUGGAGAACAGUUAUGGAAAUAGCAAAAUCUUACUGGAAAACUGAUGUCUGGUGGGUGGGAAGUUGGCUCAACCCUUUCUCUUCUUUCAUGCAUUUUUAAAGACCUGAUAUCAUGUGAAAACACUUGCAAUAUUGAACUGGAAUCAGAAACAUCUGGUUUAGGGUAGUACAGGCAGUGGUGAGGGAGUUGUGUCACUUUGUCCAGACCAAUUACUAAAUUACAGCUUGUCCCUCAGGUCCCCAUUAAGAUUCACUGGAGCUCCCUACGGCUGCAGCUUCCCCUCUGGGGAGCCUUCCAGCAGCUGCUGCUUUUAGCAGGCUGUUCUUCCUUCUGCUCCUUGCCUUGCCUAUGAGUGGGCUCAGAAGUCCUUGCCUUCAUGGUGAGGGUCAGUCUUUACCCACUCCCCUGUCCAGGCUCCCUCCCUUGGCUGAUGUCUCAGAAGCACUACAACUGUGGGUCAGGGAAGAGAAGAAGUGCUGAGUUUCCAAUGCUUAGUCUUUCUUCUCUCUGCCCCAAGGCUCUUGUAAGGGCCAAACACGGCCUUGAUCUGUGAGGGAAGCACCAGCGGCUCUCCCGGAUGCCUGCACCCACAGUUUUGUCUGUAUCCAGAGCUGUAAACAUCACCCUGAGCACUUUCUCAGGACGGACAAGAAAAACAAGCUGAUUAUGUGACAAAAAUACCCAAAGUCCUGUUUUAAUAAAACUUUGGAGAGCGAGGUCUGUGGGAGACACGAGCAGGACUGGAACCAGCCCAAGGCUGCACCUGUCCCAUGCUGGGAGCCCCCUGUGUGUGGGAAGGGGGAGAUUGUGGGCUUAGGGCUCAUGCACUGAUAGCAAUGGGCAGCUUUGCUGUGUUUUGAUGGGAAUUGUACACAGAGUGCUGCAGUUCUUAAUGAGGGGUCUCUCCCUCUCAUUUCCCUAGUGGAGGAAGGGUCUCAUCAUGGUGACUGAACUUUAGUAAAACUUUGUAAAUCCACAAAGAUUUGUGUCCAGUUUCCUCCACGUUAGUGCACCAUUCCCAGUCACUUUUGUGUCACUCAGGUUGUAUAGCUGUAUAUGGCUGCCUUUUUGGUUGCUUUUGCCUGCUUUAAGAAAUGCUGUUCGAAAGAGCCAGCCAGGAUCCUACCUCUGACUUUUGUUUCACACCUCUAGUCACAUCACUAAGUAGAACCCCCCAGAUUGUGUCUCUCCUGGUUAUUUCUUUGAUGACGUUUUUUCCUACCUUACCUCUUAUUGGUUUUCCCACCACAGUGCUGCAGCAUUUAGCAUCUGGCCUAAAGAGUUUUUUAACCUCAUUUCCUUGAGUAAUGAUCUACACCAGUCAUAAAAAGGAGAAAUCUGAAGAAAACCACAGGUGAUGGUAUUCUUAAAGCAGAUGAUUUUAUUUUUUGAAGGGAAAAAAAAAUAGUGGUGAAAUAUUUUCCUGAAAAACACAUUGGAAUACCUUGUGCAGCAUAUUACCUGUACACAAAAUAGGAUGUUCAUACUAAGGUGAACCACUGUGCUCUUAGGGCUCCAUGCCAAUUUGCUUGCUGAUCUUCAUAUUGCCUGGGAGAAAAAGAGAAGAAGGUGGGAGGAGGUGAUGGGCAGAGGCCAUUGGCACCAGAGGGAGAAGGCUGAGAUCUGGUGUUGGAGCAGGACAGGACCACAACUUUUCUUCUGUUGGUCACAGGGAGUUUCAAACUUGAAAUUGUUUGUGGAGUGAAGCCAUGAGCUGGCCAGAUGGAAAUAAGUCUCCAUACCAUGGUACAUGGAAAAACGAGUUCAUCAUGUUCUGUCUUCACUUUGAAGCAUUCUUGGCAAAUUUAGCCACAUCCUGGAAAGAGUGGAGGGGAGGAAGAGCAGAGGGGAGCCAGUAGGCAAAUGGGGCUAUGGAGUUUGGUUGUACAAUGCUUAGGGAAGCUGUUCAGCUUCAAAGGAGAAUGCCUGGUUGCUGAGACAGAGUGUACAAAAUAAUUAUGCUUAUUUUUUGAACCUCACCACCACUUUUCAGUAUUUCUUUUACCACUGUUUUUGUUUUUGUUUUUCUGCAGAGUAUAGUGGCAAGAAUCCUUCCCCGACAAUGGGGUGUAAUGGUUGCAGCUAGAUCUGUGGCAGGUGGGGCUAACUAAACAGUUGGGAAAUAGCACUGCUUUCAUGAUUGGUGUCAGAAGGUAAAACACAAUAAACUCUAUUUUUGAUAUUACA